GCUGGGCAUGGUGGCGCAUGCCUGUAGUCCCAGCUGCUCAGGAGGCUGAGAUGGGAGGAUCACUUGAGCCCAGGAGUUCUGGGCUGUAGUGCACUAUGCCGAUCGGGUGUCCGCACUAAGUUCAGCAUCAAUAUGGUGACCUCCCAGGAGUGGGGGACCAUCAAGUUGCAUAAGGAGGGGUGAACCAGCCCAGGUCAGAAACAGAGCAGGUCAAAACUCCCAUGCUGAUCAGUAGUGGGAUCGUGCCUGUGAAUAGCCACUGCACUCUAGCCUGAGCAACAGAGUGAGACCCAGUCUCA
This 299-nucleotide signal recognition particle RNA is filed under the name Cebus imitator (Panamanian white-faced capuchin). Its description in RNAcentral is "Metazoan signal recognition particle RNA (ENSCCAG00000006853.1)". It matches the Rfam family "Metazoan signal recognition particle RNA". From Rfam's summary of the family: The signal recognition particle (SRP) is a universally conserved ribonucleoprotein. It is involved in the co-translational targeting of proteins to membranes. The eukaryotic SRP consists of a 300-nucleotide 7S RNA and six proteins: SRPs 72, 68, 54, 19, 14, and 9. Lineage: Eukaryota; Metazoa; Chordata; Mammalia; Primates; Cebidae. The record is from RNAcentral.